RNAcentral lists this microRNA precursor (142 nucleotides) under Marmota monax (woodchuck). Lineage: Eukaryota; Metazoa; Chordata; Mammalia; Rodentia; Sciuridae. The record is from RNAcentral.
AAAUAAUUCAUUCUCUCUCUUUCUCUGUCUCUCUCUCUCUCUCUCUCUCUCUCUCUCUCUCUCACACACACACACACACACACACACACAGAGAGAGAGAGAGAGAGAGAGAGAGAGAGAGAGAGAGAGAGAGAAGCAGCUG